RNAcentral lists this ribosomal RNA (447 nucleotides) under uncultured bacterium. RNAcentral's name for it is "bacterial SSU rRNA". It matches the Rfam family "Bacterial small subunit ribosomal RNA", at positions 342 to 807 of the family's 1533-position model. The record is from RNAcentral.
CGGGAGGCAGCAGUUAGGAAUCUUCGGCAAUGGGGGAAACCCUGACCGAGCGACACUGCUUGAAGGAUGAAGGUCUUCGGAUCGUAAACUUCUGAACCUGCGACGAGAAAUGACGGUAGCAGGCUAAUAGCACCGGCUAACUCCGUGCCAGCAGCCGCGGUAAUACGGAGGGUGCAAGCGUUAUCCGGAAUCACUGGGCGUAAAGGGCGCGUAGGCGGUUUGUUAAGUCCGAUGUUAAAGACCGAGGCUCAACCUCGACACGGCGUUGGAUACUGGCAAGCUGGACGGUUGGAGAGGAAGGUAGAAUUACCAGUGUAGCGGUGGAAUGCGUAGAUACUGGUAGGAAUACCCAUUGCGAAGGCAGCCCUCUGGACAACACGUGACGCUGAGGCGCGAAAGUGUGGGGAGCAAACCGGAUUAGAUACCCGGGUAGUCCACACCCUAAAC